GAUGAACGCUAGCGGCAGGCUUAACACAUGCAAGUCGAGGGGUAACAGGGGAAAGCUUGCUUUUUUGCUGACGACCGGCGCACGGGUGAGUAACGCGUAUAGAACCUACCUUUUACAGGGGAAUAGCCCAGAGAAAUUUGGAUUAAUACCCUAUAGUAUUAUUGAGUGGCAUCAUUUAAUAAUUAAACAUUUAUGGGUAAAAGAUGGCUAUGCGUUCUAUUAGCUAGAUGGUAAGGUAACGGCUUACCAUGGCAACGAUAGAUAGGGGUCCUGAGAGGGAGAUCCCCCACACUGGUACUGAGACACGGACCAGACUCCUACGGGAGGCAGCAGUGAGGAAUAUUGGACAAUGGAGGCAACUCUGAUCCAGCCAUGCCGCGUGCAGGAAGACGGCCCUAUGGGUUUUUAACUGCUUUUAUACGGGAAGAAACCCAACUACGUGUAGUUGGCUGACGGUACCGUAAGAAUAAGCACCGGCUAACUCCGUGCCAGCAGCCGCGGUAAUACGGAGGGUGCAAGCGUUAUCCGGAAUCAUUGGGUUUAAAGGGUCCGUAGGGCGGGCUAAUAAGUCAGGGGUGAAAUCCAACAGCUUAACUGUUGAACUGCCUUUGAUACUGUUAGUCUUGAAUUAUAUGGAAGUAGAUAGAAUGUGUAGUGUAGCGGUGAAAUGCUUAGAGAUUACACAGAAUACCGAUUGCGAAGGCAGUCUACUACGUAUAUAUG
This 723-nucleotide ribosomal RNA is filed under the name Lutibacter sp. Its description in RNAcentral is "bacterial SSU rRNA". It matches the Rfam family "Bacterial small subunit ribosomal RNA", at positions 28 to 741 of the family's 1533-position model. Lineage: Bacteria; Pseudomonadati; Bacteroidota; Flavobacteriia; Flavobacteriales; Flavobacteriaceae. The record is from RNAcentral.